GGCGAACGCUGGCGGCGUGCUUAACACAUGCAAGUCGAACGGAAAGGCCUGCUUUCCCUUGUGGAUUGCGGGUACUCGAGUGGCGAACGGGUGAGUAACACGUGAGUGAUCUGCCCCCAACUUGGGUAUAAGCCUGGGAAACUGGGUCUAAUUCCCGAUAGGACUGCAGGGUGGUGCCUGUGGUGGAAAACGAUUUUCUAGUGGUUGGGGAUGAGCUCGCGGCCUAUCAGCUUGUUGGUGGGGUAAUGGCCUACCAAGGCGGCGACGGGUAGCCGGCCUGGGAGGGGGGACGGCCACAUUGGGACUGAGAGACGGCCCAGACUCCUACGGGAGGCAGCAGUGGGGAAUAUUGCACAAUGGGCGGAAGCCUGAUGCAGCGACGCCGCGUGGGGGAUGACGGCCUUCGGGUUGUAAACUCCUUUCGACCGCGAGGAAGCCACCUGGUUGGAAGGGUGGUGACGGUAGUGGUAGAAGAAGCACCGGCUAACUACGUG
Molecule: ribosomal RNA, 494 nt
Filed under: uncultured bacterium
Lineage: Bacteria
Description: partial 16S ribosomal RNA
Rfam family: Bacterial small subunit ribosomal RNA
Source: RNAcentral